CUUCACCGAGCCCAGCCACAACGGCGAGUCCUCACCCCGCCCCUGACCGUAGGUCGCCAACAACGCCUGCGCCUC
Molecule: non-coding RNA, 75 nt
Organism: Actinobacteria bacterium OK074
Lineage: Bacteria; Bacillati; Actinomycetota; Actinomycetes
Rfam family: ASpks TB sRNA
Source: Rfam